This 887-nucleotide ribosomal RNA is filed under the name uncultured archaeon. RNAcentral describes it as "bacterial SSU rRNA". It matches the Rfam family "Archaeal small subunit ribosomal RNA", at positions 28 to 922 of the family's 1478-position model. The record is from RNAcentral.
UUCCCCUGAGGUUCGAUUAGCAUGCGAGUCGAGGUAGCGAUACAGGGCGUACGUGCUCAGUAACACGGGGACAACCUACCCUUAGGACAGGUAUAAACCCGGGAAACUGGGUAUAAUCCCCGAUAGUCCUCGGCUGCUGGAAUGCAUCGAGGACGAAAGCUCCGGCGCCUAAGGAUGGGUCUGCGGCCUAUCAGGUAGUAGUGGGUGUAACGUACCUACUAGCCUACGACGGGUACGGGUUGUGAGAGCAAGAGCCCGGAGAUGGAUUCUGAGACACGAAUCCAGGCCCUACGGGGUGCAGCAGGCGCGAAAACUUUACAAUGCCGGCAACGGCGAUAAGGGGACCUCGAGUGCCAGGUUACAAAUCUGGCUGUCGUGAUGCCUAAAAAGCAUUGCAUAGCAAGGGCCGGGCAAGACCGGUACCAGCCGCCGCGGUAACACCAGCGGCUCGAGUGGUAACCGUUAUUAUUGGGUCUAAAGGGUCUGUAGCCGGCCGGAUAAGUCUCUUGGGAAAUCCAGCAGCUCAACUGUUGGGCUUUCAGGAGAUACUGUCUGGCUCGAGGCCGGGAGAGGUGAGAGGUACUUCAGGGGUAGGGGUGAAAUCUUGUAAUCCUUGAAGGACCACCAGUGGCGAAGGCGUCUCACCAAAACGGACCUGACGGCAAGGGACGAAAGCUAGGGGCACGAACCGGAUUAGAUACCCGGGUAGUCCUAGCCGUAAACGAUACUCGCUAGGUGUCGGCCACGGUGCGACCGUUGUCGGUGCCGUAGGGAAGCCGUGAAGCGAGCCACCUGGGAAGUACGGCCGCAAGGCCGAAACUUAAAGGAAUUGGCGGGGGAGCACCACAACGGGUGGAGCUUGCGGUUUAAUUGGAUUCAACGCCGGG